This is a long non-coding RNA of Ailuropoda melanoleuca (giant panda), 1613 nucleotides long. RefSeq lists it as uncharacterized. The record is from RefSeq and is a predicted model, not a curated record. The transcript is spliced from 3 exons. NCBI's taxonomy places the organism in Eukaryota, Metazoa, Chordata, Mammalia, Carnivora, Ursidae.
GUGUGCGGACUGGGCAGACGUCUAGGUGUUCUCGCUCUGGGAGGGGCCUGGUGGUGAUGAGGGGGCGGGGCUCCCAGAGCUGCCCAGGGGGCUGAUGAUGUCCACUGUCCUCUGUGUUAAUGACAGUGACGGACACUGAGAAGAGGGUCACUCAGGGCCACUGAGCAGACCCGGGAACCUGUGCGUGGCUCUUCUCUCACGCCGUCCCCGAGUGGACAUCCAUAGUCUCGGCCCGCCCGGCGGCGUUCUUGCUGGGUUUGGCAGCCUCCUCCCUGGUCUUCCUCUGGAAACGCUGUCUGCCCGAGUGGUUCAGGCGUGGUUGGCAGGCGCCGUCCCGGGAUCCAUGGGAAAGAAGAGCAGGCGUGGUGCUGGAGUCGCUGAGCGGUGGGUGUCUGGGGGCCGCGGUGCCAUCCUCCCUGCCGCCUGGAGGAGCCGACCAGGACCAAGGCAGCAAGGUAGGGCAGAGGUGGGAGGGCCCUGCAGGGAGAGCGUCAUGAGCUGUGCGCUUGGCUCACGGCCGCAGGCCUGCUUUCAGUCCGAACCUGACCCAAGCCUCGGACCCCUCAGCCGCCUCGCCCUGCUGUCGUGAGCCCGUGGCCCCCAGGGGAAUGGAAAGCUCGGGAUAAUCCCCAGAUUACUGAAAGCCGAUACCUCCUGACAGUGAGGUCAAUUCCCUGAGUUGUCCCAGAGGCUUCCUUGUUUUCUCUCUUCUCCCUUAAACACUGGCUCUUGGUCUUAAAGACGCGGGCCUUUGCUCUGUAAUGGGUUUCAGCAGGCGAAUUCUCCAUCCGGACAGACCGUGCUUCCUGCAUUGGGAGAGCUCUCGUCUGGGACGGCUGAGCGCCCGCCUGCGCUGCGGGCACUCCAAGCCCACCCUCCAGGCCUCGGCUUGAGCCUCUGGAAGGGACGUCCGUGGAUCUCCCGCGAACAGCCGAAGCGGUGUAGACUGAGGCUGACACCCUGUGGCCCACCCUCCUGUGAGACCCCCUCACCCGGCCUAUUGCCACGGAGCCAGCGCGUUCUAGACGGGGUGCGAAUGGUGCCGGCACUCUCCGCACCAUGUGACCCGCAUCAGCAGAACCCUGGGUGGACUCGGGGUGCAGGUGCUCACUCACGUGCUGGCCCAGGACGCCAGGCUGGGAGCAUGCUCCCUGGAGAGUCAAGACUGAAAACCGGGAAUGCUGCCUCAAAGGACAGGCACGCUUCACUCUUCAAGAAACUGCCCGUUUUUCAAAGCCGCGGUCGCGUUUUGCGCUCCCACCAGCCACGUGCGAGGGUCCCGUUGCACCUCACCGUCCCCAGGAUGGGGUGCUGCCAACACCUCUGACUUGGGCCAAAGUACGGACAGCUGGGGAUUGCUACCUCUGAGGUGAGGCCCUACAAGACUGUGACUUCCAUCUCGCGUGCUCUCUUCUCGUGAGCUGGCUCUGAUGAAGCAGACUGCCAUGCCUGGACUGUCUGCUGGAGAAGUCUUUUUGGCAAGGAGGUGAGAGAUGAGGCCCCGAGUCUAACAGCCUGAGAGAAAAGCACAGCCAGCAGCCUCUCCAACACCUUGAUUGUAGCCCCGUGAGAGAACCCUAAAAGGAGGGCCCUCCUAAGCUGUGCCCAGGUUC